RNAcentral lists this long non-coding RNA (485 nucleotides) under Macaca nemestrina (pig-tailed macaque). RNAcentral's name for it is "lncRNA (ENSMNEG00000046151.1)". The record is from RNAcentral. Lineage: Eukaryota; Metazoa; Chordata; Mammalia; Primates; Cercopithecidae.
GGAAAAGAGAAAUUCCAGAUUUAAGUUUCAAGGCCAUCUGUGUAACUUUUCAUAAUAUUUCUUCACAGGGAAUGGUUUCUGAUUUCAUGGAAGGUGAAGAGUAAGAUAUAGACAUCUGUGGAGGCCUUCAAUAGUUAAUCCUGGAAAUAUCUGGAUUAUCUAUCCUGUUGGGAGCCUGGAGAAUGCAUUGCCACAGAAGUAUGAAUAAAUUCUCUUCAGUGAAGACCCUGAAGAACAUAUUUGUAUACAAUCCUGAGUAUCCCCUGAAAACCUGAUUUUAUGGAGAAACUUUAGAAGUGUUCAUUGAUUUGGGUUAUAGAUUCUUAUCUGUCGCCCGGUUUGGAGUACAGUGGCACAACUGUAGCUCACCACAGCCUCAACCUUCUGGACUCUAGCAAUCCUUCUGCCUCAGCCUCCCAAGUAGCUGGAAUGACAGGUCGGUGCCACCAUGCCCAGCUAAUUUUAAGUUUUUUUUUCUUUGUGAA